RNAcentral lists this small nuclear RNA (152 nucleotides) under Vulpes vulpes (red fox). Its description in RNAcentral is "U4 spliceosomal RNA (ENSVVUG00000026702.1)". The stretch from base 1 to 136 matches the Rfam family "U4 spliceosomal RNA". From Rfam's summary of the family: U4 small nuclear RNA (U4 snRNA) is a component of the major U2-dependent spliceosome. The structure of U4 snRNA from yeast and human has been reported. Lineage: Eukaryota; Metazoa; Chordata; Mammalia; Carnivora; Canidae. The record is from Rfam by way of RNAcentral.
AGCUUUGCGUAGUGGCAGUAUCGUAGCUAAUGAGGUUUAAUCUGAGGUGCGAUUAUUGCUAAUUGAAGACUAGUGGUCUCUCUAUUCAACCCAUUUUGCCUUGGCCAAUGUGGUAAAAGCUGCUUCUCUUAGGUGCCUGGAUGGCUCAGAGA